UGCAGACGUCGAAUAGACGUCUCCGUGAUGUACGUGUGCUAUCAGGGAGGGUUACAUGGAUGGAGUAAGAGAUGUGUAGUACUCCGGUGUAGUAGGUGGCGGUAUGUGCGUUUCACGGGUGUUUGUAAGCCGCCAUUACUCUAAAAGUAGGAGAUUUCCAGUCUUCCGAUCCAUUAACCUCGCGCAGAGUUGAGUCGCUGCGCUUCUUUACGCGUCCAGCGAUUAUGUAAAUGAGGCCAGCGGCCGUAAACUGACUCGUGAGACCAGAAUAUCGUUCAUUCGCGAUGACUGGAAGAUUGUGGACACCCGAAGCGGAGGAGACGCUGAUCGAGCUCUGGCAGGAGUCUGCAUGUCUGUACGACAUUUCGUCCGCCGAUUACCACAACCGGGAGGAGAAGGACAAACGAUGGAAGGAGGUCGCCGAUGCGCUUCAGAUGCCCGCUUUGGCGGUGGCGACCAGGGUGGCGUCUCUGAGGACUCAAUAUUCCAGACUGAGGAAACCCAAACCCAACGGGAGUGAGAAGAAGCCCCUCACGAUGAGGCAGCGGUGGCUCCUGAGGGCCCUCGGCUUCCUGAAGCCACACAUCGUUCAUCGGCAAAGCGAGAACCCUCUGGGUUCUGAUAAAGUGGAGGAAACUGCAGACGAGUCGGAUGAAAUGGAGACGGAUAAAGAAGUGGACAGUUUCGACUCCAUCAGCGUGUGUCUCUCCCCGAUGCCCGGCACUCCUGGCUGCUGUAAGCUACCAUAGUAAAAC
Long non-coding RNA from Sinocyclocheilus grahami, 755 nucleotides. Lineage: Eukaryota; Metazoa; Chordata; Actinopteri; Cypriniformes; Cyprinidae. The record is from Ensembl.